RNAcentral lists this ribosomal RNA (590 nucleotides) under Paenibacillus jamilae. Its description in RNAcentral is "bacterial LSU rRNA". It matches the Rfam family "Bacterial large subunit ribosomal RNA", at positions 1 to 582 of the family's 2925-position model. Lineage: Bacteria; Bacillati; Bacillota; Bacilli; Caryophanales; Paenibacillaceae. The record is from RNAcentral.
AGGUUAAGCUACAAAGAGCACACGGAGGAUGCCUAGGCGCCAGGAGCCGACGAAGGACGUGGCGAACAACGAUAAGGCCUCGGGGAGCUGUAAGCAAGCUUUGAUCCGGGGAUGUCCGAAUGGGGAAACCCGGCUGUCUUCAUCGACAGUCACUUUCUGCUGAAUACAUAGGCAGAAGAGAGGCAGACCAGGGGAACUGAAACAUCUAAGUACCCUGAGGAAGAGAAAACAAUAGUGAUUCCGUCAGUAGCGGCGAGCGAACGCGGAUUAGCCCAAACCAAGGAGCUUGCUCCUUGGGGUUGUGGGACGUCUCACAUGGAGUUACAAAGGAACCGGUUAGAUGAAGAGGUCUGGAAAGGCCCGCCAGAGAAGGUAAAAGCCCUGUAGUUCAAAACCUGUUCCCUCCGAGACGGAUCCCGAGUAGUGCGGGGCACGUGAAACCCCGUAUGAAUCCGGCAGGACCAUCUGCCAAGGCUAAAUACUCCCUGGCGACCGAUAGUGAAGCAGUACCGUGAGGGAAAGGUGAAAAGCACCCCGGAAGGGGAGUGAAAUAGAUCCUGAAACCGUGUGCUUACAAGAAGUCAGAGCCC